AACACAACGAUACACGUAGCUUAAUAGUUCGAUGCUCUUAUUAGCUCGGAGUCCAAUUAAGGCCAGAAUGAUACUCCAUGCAUUCUGCCGCGUACUUCCUAGUGUCGCGCUGGAAUACCAAGCAAGGGAACGCCGACGACGACCGUUGACACCGUAAAAAAUGAAGUUGCACAAGAAGAUGCGGAUCAGUCUCGUUAAGGCUAUCCCGCGAAGGACACUCGAAAAGUACAAUCGUCCUCCAAGAUAACCAAACGUUCCCGAACAUUCUUAGCAGCCUGGUAGUAUACUUUACGGUUCAAUCAUGGGACGAUUUGCGUUCAGGCCAAAGGAAGUUUAUCCCCACCAAAAGGAGUCACUGAUGGAUACUGAAUCAUUGUAUAAUUUAUGAUAUCACUGGUCAUUGGCGAAUGUGGUUCAGUGGUACGUCCGCGAUAACAGUCUGUGACCAUACAGGAAGAUAUUCCAACGAUAUAGAAGUAACGAACGGCAGAUUUUACGCAUUCACAAGCAACCAAAGUGCGUAGAAUAUUAAAAACAGCAAUUUAAGAACAUUUAAUCGAAACCUUAGCUAUAUUUCGAUGUCUUAGUUCAUGAGAGGCGUGUAAACAAAAAAUAAAAGUAAAAUGUAUUCAUCCAAUAGCGACAUAGUCACCUGUUUUCUCAAAAUCGAUAGAAAGAAGGAUUAUACGUAUUAUGAUGUUAGCUGUCUACCUGUUGAGAGGGACCGCGUUGUUGGCUAUUGUAUCUGGCGAGGACCGCCGGGUUCAAACGACGUCUCACUGCCGUCGGUGUUGACAUUUUAACGAUCCUACGGCACCGUUCCCGUUUGCUUUAUUAAUUCCGUUGGUCUCGCUGUCAGGAUCCCAUGCGAUCAUCGAAGCAAACACCGAUUCCGCGGGUUCUUCUAGACGAAUCUGCUGCGCGCGUUUCGAACUACCCAGUGUGUAGCACCGUGUACCGCGUUAACAUUAGAACCACCAGACAGAUCGAAACGAUCAAUCUCAUCCGCAAUCAGAAAACUCGAACUAUAAAGUUCCGUUCACACAACGGUUACAUUAACAAUCUUUUCGCGAAACUGUGUUGAAAUUCAAUGCAUAGUAACCGAGUACCGAUACUUUGCUAUCACGUUGAUAUGUGAAAGCUGAUUAUAACGAUAAAACUUGUAUAGAGAAUUGUACAGAUAAUUGUACAUUAUUACGUAAUUAUAUAAACAACACGGUUCUGUAUACUUAA
Molecule: long non-coding RNA, 1233 nt
Organism: Nomia melanderi (Alkali bee)
Lineage: Eukaryota; Metazoa; Arthropoda; Insecta; Hymenoptera; Halictidae
Source: RefSeq, a predicted model, not a curated record